ACAUCUAAGUACCUGGAGGAAGAGAAAGAAAAAUCGAUUUCCUGAGUAGCGGCGAGCGAAACGGAAAGAGCCCAAACCAAGAAGCUUGCUUCUUGGGGUUGUAGGACACUCUAUACGGAGUUACAAAAGAAAGUUAUAAAUGAAGCGGUCUGGAAAGGCCCGCCAAAGACGGUAACAGCCCGGUAGUUGAAAUGGCUUUCCCUCCAGAGUGGAUCCUGAGUACGGCGGAACACGUGAAAUUCCGUCGGAAUCCGGGAGGACCAUCUCCCAAGGCUAAAUACUCCCUAGUGACCGAUAGUGAACCAGUACCGUGAGGGAAAGGUGAAAAGCACCCCGGAAGGGGAGUGAAACAGUUCCUGAAACCGUGUGCCUACAAGUAGUUAGAGCCCGUUAAUGGGUGAUAGCGUGCCUUUUGUAGAAUGAACCGGCGAGUUACGAUUUGUUGCAAGGUUAAGCGGAAAAAGCGGAGCCGUAGCGAAAGCGAGUCUGAAUAGGGCGCAUAAGUAACAGGUCGUAGACCCGAAACCAGGUGAUCUACCCAUGUCCAGGAUGAAGGUAAGGUAAUACUUACUGGAGGUCCGAACCCACGCACGUUGAAAAGUGCGGGGAUGAGGUGUGGGUAGCGGAGAAAUUCCAAUCGAACUUGGAGAUAGCUGGUUCUCUCCGAAAUAGCUUUAGGGCUAGCCUCGAGGUAAAGAGUCAUGGAGGUAGAGCACUGUUUGGACUAGGGGCCCUUCUCGGGUUACCGAAUUCAGAUAAACUCCGAAUGCCAUGUACUUAUACUCGGGAGUCAGACUGCGAGUGAUAAGAUCCGUAGUCGAAAGGGAAACAGCCCAGACCACCAGUUAAGGUCCCCAAAUAUAU
Molecule: ribosomal RNA, 864 nt
Filed under: Listeria monocytogenes
Lineage: Bacteria; Bacillati; Bacillota; Bacilli; Caryophanales; Listeriaceae
Description: partial 23S ribosomal RNA
Rfam family: Bacterial large subunit ribosomal RNA
Source: RNAcentral